UGCUGUGAGCUCGAUGAGUAGGGCGGGACACGUGGUAUCCUGUCUGAAUAUGGGGGGACCAUCCUCCAAGGCUAAAUACUCCUGACUGACCGAUAGUGAACCAGUACCGUGAGGGAAAGGCGAAAAGAACCCCGGCGAGGGGAGUGAAAAAGAACCUGAAACCGUGUACGUACAAGCAGUGGGAGCACCCUUUGGGGUGUGACUGCGUACCUUUUGUAUAAUGGGUCAGCGACUUAUAUUCUGUAGCAAGGUUAACCGAAUAGGGGAGCCGGAGGGAAACCGAGUCUUAACCGGGCGUUAAGUUGCAGGGUAUAGACCCGAAACCCGGUGAUCUAGCCAUGGGCAGGUUGAAGGUUGGGUAACACUAACUGGAGGACCGAACCGACUAAUGUUGAAAAAUUAGCGGAUGACCUGUGGCUGGGGGUGAAAGGCCAAUCAAACCGGGAGAUAGCUGGUUCUCCCCGAAAGCUAUUUAGGUAGCGCCUCGUGAAUUCAUCUCCGGGGGUAGAGCACUGUUUCGGCUAGGGGGCCAUCCCGGCUUACCAACCCGAUGCAAACUGCGAAUACCGGAGAAUGUUAUCACGGGAGACACACGGCGGGUGCUAACGUCCGUCGUGAAGAGGGAAACAACCCAGACCGCCAGCUAAGGUCCCAAAGUCAUGGUUAAGUGGGAAACGAUGUGGGAAGGCCCAGACAGCCAGGAUGUUGGCUUAGAAGCAGCCAUCAUUUAAAGAAAGCGUAAUAGCUCACUGGUCGAGUCGGCCUGCGCGGAAGAUGUAACGGGGCUAAACCAUGCACCGAAGCUGCGGCAGCGACNUGCUGGAGGUAUCAGAAGUGCGAAUGCUGACAUAAGUAACGAUAAAGCGGGUGAAAAGCCCGCUCGCCGGAAGACCAAGGGUUCCUGUCCAACGUUAAUCGGGGCAGGGUGAGUCGACCCCUAAGGCGAGGCCGAAAGGCGUAGUCGAUGGGAAACGGGUUAAUAUUCCCGUACUUGGUGUUACUGCGAAGGGGGGACGGAGAAGGCUAUGUUGGCCGGGCGACGGUUGUCCCGGUUUAAGCGUGUAGGUGUGUGUUCCAGGUAAAUCCGGUUCACUUUAACACUGAGGCGUGACGACGAGGCACUACGGUGCUGAAGCAACAAAUGCCCUGCUUCCAGGAAAAGCCUCUAAGCAUCAGGUAACAUCAAAUCGUACCCCAAACCGACACAGGUGGUCAGGUAGAGAAUACCAAGGCGCUUGAGAGAACUCGGGUGAAGGAACUAGGCAAAAUGGUGCCGUAACUUCGGGAGAAGGCACGCUGACAUGUAGGUGAAGUGAUUUACUCAUGGAGCUGAAGUCAGUCGAAGAUACCAGCUGGCUGCAACUGUUUAUUAAAAACACAGCACUGUGCAAACACGAAAGUGGACGUAUACGGUGUGACGCCUGCCCGGUGCCGGAAGGUUAAUUGAUGGGGUCAGCGCAAGCGAAGCUCCUGAUCGAAGCCCCGGUAAACGGCGGCCGUAACUAUAACGGUCCUAAGGUAGCGAAAUUCCUUGUCGGGUAAGUUCCGACCUGCACGAAUGGCGUAAUGAUGGCCAGGCUGUCUCCACCCGAGACUCAGUGAAAUUGAACUCGCUGUGAAGAUGCAGUGUACCCGCGGCAAGACGGAAAGACCCCGUGAACCUUUACUAUAGCUUGACACUGAACAUUGAGCCUUGAUGUGUAGGAUAGGUGGGAGGCUUUGAAGUGUGGACGCCAGUCUGCAUGGAGCCGGCCUUGAAAUACCACCCUUUAAUGUUUGAUGUUCUAACGUGGACCCGUGAUCCGGGUUGCGGACAGUGUCUGGUGGGUAGUUUGACUGGGGCGGUCUCCUCCUAAAGAGUAACGGAGGAGCACGAAGGUUGGCUAAUCCUGGUCGGACAUCAGGAGGUUAGUGCAAUGGCAUAAGCCAGCUUGACUGCGAGCGUGACGGCGCGAGCAGGUGCGAAAGCAGGUCAUAGUGAUCCGGUGGUUCUGAAUGGAAGGGCCAUCGCUCAACGGAUAAAAGGUACUCCGGGGAUAACAGGCUGAUACCGCCCAAGAGUUCAUAUCGACGGCGGUGUUUGGCACCUCGAUGUCGGCUCAUCACAUCCUGGGGCUGAAGUAGGUCCCAAGGGUAUGGCUGUUCGCCAUUUAAAGUGGUACGCGAGCUGGGUUUAGAACGUCGUGAGACAGUUCGGUCCCUAUCUGCCGUGGGCGCUGGAGAACUGAGGGGGGCUGCUCCUAGUACGAGAGGACCGGAGUGGACGCAUCACUGGUGUUCGGGUUGUCAUGCCAAUGGCACUGCCCGGUAGCUAAAUGCGGAAGAGAUAAGUGCUGAAAGCAUCUAAGCACGAAACUUGCCCCGAGAUGAGUUCUCCCUGAGACUU
This 2386-nucleotide ribosomal RNA is filed under the name Salmonella enterica subsp. enterica serovar Muenster. Its description in RNAcentral is "bacterial LSU rRNA". It matches the Rfam family "Bacterial large subunit ribosomal RNA", at positions 395 to 2823 of the family's 2925-position model. Lineage: Bacteria; Pseudomonadati; Pseudomonadota; Gammaproteobacteria; Enterobacterales; Enterobacteriaceae. The record is from RNAcentral.